ACGGAAAAGCUGUAGCUAAUACUUGCUUUAUUAUCCUUUGAUUUUUAUCUUUGGAUAAGUAUUUGUUAGGCCUUAUAAGAAAAAAGUUAUUAACUUAAGGAAUUAUAACAAAGAAGUAACACGUAAUAAAUUUAUUUUAUUUAGUGUGUAUCAAUCGAGUUUCUGACCUAUCAGCUUUUGAUGUUAGGGUAUUGGCCUAACAUGGCUAUGACGGGUAACGGGGAAUUAGAGUUCGAUUCCGGAGAGGGAGCCUGAGAAAUAGCUACCACAUCUAAGGAAGGCAGCAGGCGCGUAAAUUACCCAAUUCUAAAGAAGAGAGGUAGUGACAAGAAAUAACAAUGCAAGGCCAAUUUUUGGUUUUGUAAUUGGAAUGGUGGGAAUUUAAAACCUUCCCAGAGUAACAAUUGGAGGGCAAGUCUGGUGCCAGCAGCCGCGGUAAUUCCAGCUCCAAUAGCGUAUAUUAAAAUUGUUGCAGUUAAAACGCUCGUAGUUGAAUUUCAAAGAAUCGAUAUUUUAUUGUAACUAU
This 526-nucleotide ribosomal RNA is filed under the name Plasmodium falciparum (malaria parasite P. falciparum). RNAcentral's name for it is "SSU rRNA". It matches the Rfam family "Eukaryotic small subunit ribosomal RNA", at positions 149 to 669 of the family's 1831-position model. The record is from RNAcentral. Lineage: Eukaryota; Apicomplexa; Aconoidasida; Haemosporida; Plasmodiidae.